RNAcentral lists this ribosomal RNA (253 nucleotides) under uncultured bacterium. RNAcentral's name for it is "partial 16S ribosomal RNA". It matches the Rfam family "Bacterial small subunit ribosomal RNA", at positions 524 to 776 of the family's 1533-position model. The record is from RNAcentral.
UACAGAGGUGGCAAGCGUUGUUCGGAAUUACUGGGCGUAAAGGGCGCGUAGGCGGUCUUCUAAGUCUUGUGUGAAAUCCCUCGGCUCAACUGAGGAACUGCACGGGAUACUGGAAGACUUGAGUUCGGGAGAGGGAAGCGGAAUUCCGGGUGUAGCGGUGAAAUGCGUAGAUAUCUGGAGGAACACCGGUGGCGAAGGCGGCAUCCUGGACCGGCAUUGACGCUGAGGCGCGAAAGCCAGGGGAGCAAACGGG